This 471-nucleotide small RNA is filed under the name Arabidopsis thaliana (thale cress). RNAcentral describes it as "ATSL265380". Lineage: Eukaryota; Viridiplantae; Streptophyta; Magnoliopsida; Brassicales; Brassicaceae. The record is from RNAcentral.
ACCUCCUCAAAUCCAAAGCUGUCUGGAAAGAAAUCAUGAACAGCAUGAUAGAACAACAACAACUCAGAAAGUCUCAUCUUGCCAGGUUCCAUCUUGCACAACAGUGUGCUACUAAUCAGCCUAACCAAAUAUCUCAGAACAUGGUGACGAAUCUCUGAGUGUACUGCGUCCUUGGAAUCGUAAAUUCCAUUGCCAAACCUGCUCCAGAAAAUCUGAGCAUCCUUAAACUGUCCAAGUAGAGCAACUCUAGUGAGAUCAUUGUCUAAACCAUAUAGGUCACAUAACUCUCUCAAUGGUAGACUGUAUCUGACACCGCGAAUGAAGAAGAUAAGAGCUCCUUCCUAAGCAUUGUGUUUCCUCUCAUUCACAUAGUAGACCCUAACAGAAGCCAUGAAUUGUCUAACUAGCUCAGGAUACAGAUCGUACUACCUACAAUAGAUGGCUCCCAAACCAAUAUCAUCUAGCAAACCU